RNAcentral lists this ribosomal RNA (1219 nucleotides) under Chayote whiteness phytoplasma. RNAcentral's name for it is "bacterial SSU rRNA". It matches the Rfam family "Bacterial small subunit ribosomal RNA", at positions 138 to 1369 of the family's 1533-position model. Lineage: Bacteria; Bacillati; Mycoplasmatota; Mollicutes; Acholeplasmatales; Acholeplasmataceae. The record is from RNAcentral.
CUAGAACAUCCGCAUCUUCUUGUUUCUAAAAGACCUAGAUCUUCAUGUUCUUGUUUCNAAAAGACCUAGCAAUAGGUAUGCUUAGGGAGGAGCUUGCGUCACAUUAGUUAGUUGGUGGGGUAAAGGCCUACCAAGACUAUGAUGUGUAGCCGGGCUGAGAGGUUGAACGGCCACAUUGGGACUGAGACACGGCCCAAACUCCUACGGGAGGCAGCAGUAGGGAAUUUUCGGCAAUGGAGGAAACUCUGACCGAGCAACGCCGCGUGAACGAUGAAGUAUUUCGGUACGUAAAGUUCUUUUAUUAGGGAAGAAUAAAUGAUGGAAAAAUCAUUCUGACGGUACCUAAUGAAUAAGCCCCGGCUAACUAUGUGCCAGCAGCCGCGGUAAUACAUAGGGGGCAAGCGUUAUCCGGAAUUAUUGGGCGUAAAGGGUGCGUAGGCGGGUAAAUAAGUUUAUGGUCUAAGUGCAAUGCUCACAUUGGGAUGCUAUAAAACUGUUUAGCUAGAGUAAGAUAGAGGCAAGUGGAAUCCCAUGUGUAGUGGUAAAAUGCGUAAAUAUAUGGAGGAACACCAGUAAGCGAAGGCGGCUUGCAGGGCCUUUACUGACGCUGAGGCACGAAAGCGUGGGGAGCAACCAGGAUUAAAUCCCCUGGUAGUCCACCCCCUAAACGAUGAGUACUNAACGUGGGGUAAACCCAGGGUGGAAGUUAACACAUUAAGAACUCCCCCGGAGUAGUACGUACCCAAGUAUGAACCUUAAAGGAAUUGACGGGCNUCCCCACAAGCGGUGGAUCAUGUUGUUUAAUUCGAAGGUACCCGAAAAACCUCACCAGGUCUUGACAUGCUUCUGCAAAGCUGUAGAAACACAGUGGAGGUUAUCAGUUGCACAGGUGGUGCAUGGUUGUCGUCAGCUCGUGUCGUGAGAUGUUGGGUUAAGUCCCGCAACGAGCGCAACCCUUAUUGUUAGUUACCAGCACGUAAUGGUGGGGACUUUAGCAAGACUGCCAGUGAUAAAUUGGAGGAAGGUGGGGACGACGUCAAAUCAUCAUGCCCCUUAUGACCUGGGCUACAAACGUGAUACAAUGGCUGUUACAAAGGGUAGCUGAAGCGCAAGUUUUUGGCGAAUCUCAAAAAAACAGUCUCAGUUCGGAUUGAAGUCUGCAACUCGACUUCAUGAAGUUGAAUCGCUAGUAAUCGCGGUAAGCAUGCCCUUGGGAUCC